Molecule: long non-coding RNA, 2698 nt
Organism: Athene cunicularia (burrowing owl)
Lineage: Eukaryota; Metazoa; Chordata; Aves; Strigiformes; Strigidae
Source: Ensembl
GGUUUCUGCAGCCAGCUCCCGGGUGGAGAAAGUGGAAUCUCAGUAGCUGUAGAGUAAUAUCGGAUUUCUUUUUCAGCCCGCACGCUUUCUCCAUGCUAUUCUGCUGACCUCAGGCCGGCAUCAGAGAGACUUGUCUCGGCUGUGGGCUGCACUGUGCUUCUGACGGUACCGCCACUAAAGGCCAGCAAAGUUGUCGCCUGGGAAUACAAAACUGGCCCGUGGGAAGGUGUCAUUGUCAGUUCUGCUCCUGAUAGACCCACCAACACGUCACGCCCCUACGAGAAUCGCACGAGGUUCAAUGAAACGGACUUCUCACUGCAGAUCGUGCUGCAGCGGGAAGAUGACGGGCUGUACCGGUUCAGGUCCGAGUCAGACGCCACGGACUGGUUCCAGCUGCGCGUUGUUGGUGAGUGGUGAGAUGAUAGCAAACCCUCUGCCGCAGAUGGAGAGCUUGAAUUGCUGCGGAGGGAGGUGCUCCAGGUUUGAAUGCUGACCGUCGCUCCAUCUCUCGCAGAACCGCUGUCCGAGCCAGAAAUCGUGGGCAAUUCAUCAGUGAAGGCAGGAGGCAACACCAAACUGGUUUGCAAUGUCCUGGACGGGAAGGCAGACUUGUACUGGUGGAAGAAAAAUGGGGAGCUGCUGCUGGGAAGCGACCACAUCCAGUUUGUUGACAACACCACCCUAUGCAUUGUUAAAGCGUCAAUGAAUGACAGCGGCUACUAUGCUUGCGUGGUCCGCAACGAAGUCAGCCAGAAUGAAACCUCCUUCCUGCUCCAUGUCCAGAAUGCUGCGAACGUGGUGUUGCCCAUGAUCCUGGCAUGUAUUAUUGUUGGCUCGCUUGCAGGUGUCUUCGUCUGGUGCAGGACAAGGGACUGCCCAUGUCACAAUGUCUGUCGGUAGAGAGCUUGAGUGGCUGCGGCCUUGCUGCCUUCCCUGAUGGUGGUGGUGGUGGAUUCUGCCUGGGGAGCACUGGAUGUCUGAUGCUGUCCCAGCCUCUUCUGGGGUCACCUCUGAAUUGCUCAAGCUGUUGAACCCAACAAAUAUUUUUUUUGUAAAACACUGUCUUGGACUAUUUCUACGUCAUCCUGCUUUUCCCCAGGGCCCUUGCACAUCCCUGGGGGAGAGGUGGGCAUGGCCACACCUAGUGGCCCUGCUGCUGUGCUCCAGACCUCCUUACCUCUCCUGGCUUCCUCCAGAGACCGUGGGGAGUCAGUGCUUGCAGAUGGGCUGACGGCUCUGGAAAGAGCUGCCAUCCCCAGUGGUGGCUGCUGGGGGGUGCUGCGGUGCCAGCCCCUGCCUCCCCAGGGCUUGAGCCCCUCACUGCGGCCUCCGGGUGUGCUGCUGUGCCUGGGAAUUGCCAGGGCAGCUCAGGGGCUGAGACUGUGGGCAUUCUACUCAGUUUGGUCCUCAGAGGGAGGAAGAAGGGCAGGAUUUUGCUGUUGUGUGCACUGGGGAGUCCAGGAGAUGAGUGGAGUCAGUAGAAGGUGGCAGGGAAUGUAGGAGCCGUAAAGUAGUUUUAUUUUAGAAAGGAAACCCCAAAGAAGUCCUGGUUAUGUUAGAACAGUGACGCAGCCUUGCAUGGGAGAUGUAGGGAUGCUCCUGAGCCCACUCCUCUGUCCUCCAGCCUUGGGCUUUGGUGAGAUCUGGGGACGUCCCCUCCUCUUCCAAGCACUAGCCAUCUGUGUCGUAUGAGUGCCGAUGCAAGCUUGUCCUUCCCUUUUGCCCCUCCUGAAGGUGAUGGUAGACUUGGACUGGUUUGCUAUGGCCAGGGCAGCCCUAAUUCCAGGCCCUUAGUCCUGUCGCCUCCCUUCCCCAUGCUGCUUCUGCAAAGCUCUCCUGGGCUUUGCUUGUGAAGGGGUCAUUAUUCCUUCUUGUAGCCAAAAUUAUUUAGCCUGGUAGCAUAACUGGCAUCUUCACCCUGGAGAAAACAGGAUGCUCUCCCAGGAGUGCUGGACCUCACAAAGUGCCUUGCUGAUGGUUAGAUGGGGGCAUUUGUACCCCUCUUUCAUUCUGAUGGGGACAACCCCAGGUCCAGCACCCUGUCUGAGCUGGUCCCCAGCACCGCUGUGGGGGCAGGUGUUUCAGGUACCCUCAUCUAGGUAUUGGGUGGUCAUUUCUUUCCCAGAGCAGCUGGUGUCUUGGGGACCUCCUCUUGCUUCGAGCCAUGGUCAGCACAUGGUGAGCAGUAUGGGUGGAUGUUUCUGUUGCUUGGGUCUUGCCUGUAGACCUGCUUCUGCAGCAAAGGGCUUUCUUGGCCAGGGAGCAGUGGGUUUCCCUCUCCUUGGAGUUACUGGAGAAUAGAAGUGCAUCCAGGAGAGGCUCAAAUCGUAGCCCAUGGCGUGAGCAGUAGCUGAGCUCUCUUACGCCUCUGCUCUGGCAGACAGUGCAGCAUGGCUCUGUCCUGGGGAGAUAACUGGGAUAUAAAGGAACUGGCAGCCAAGGGCCAUCUCUCAGCCUGGCAUUUCAUGUUGCAAUUAAAGCAUUAAAGGAAACCAAGCAGUUUGGGUCGAGUAAACUAGAUUUCAACCUCUGUUUUAAGCUGCAUUGCAGAUUCCUUGUUGCACUUGCAGGUAUAAAACAAAUGAAGCCACGUUUUACAAAAGAUAGUUCUCUAAACUUUUCAGAGAGUUGUCUGUAAAUCAUUUUGGAGACCUUGUGUUGUUUUAGUAUGUGUUGCUACUAAUAAAAUUGCGUGUGU